UCUCCAGAAAGAUCUGUUGGAAAGGUGAUCUUGACCAACCUCUUCCACAAAUGCAUUUAAAACCCAUUGCUUCUCAUGAAGGUUACAUGCAAAAACAUCUACAGGAACAAAGAAUGUGAAUCUUAAUUACUGACUAUUGCGGAGCUCUCUACUCAUAUGAAGGGACUUUGAAAACCUGACCACUAAUUGCCGAUUACCUUCAACUUACUGGUGUGAUCCUGUCACAAAGGCAGAAGGAUAAACUGUGUUUCAAGGAGGUAUUUCAGAAGCUCUGUGGAAGAAUGCUACCACAGGAUUGGACAAUCCACACCAAGAAAGAGACAGCAUUUCCUCUUCUUUCCUCAUCUCAUCCUGUGAGAUUUUUCAUUAAGGUGAAGUUCCGCCAUCACAGAGGAAGUAAUAUUGCAACGAUUAACAUCACUGCUUUAUGUGUUCUUUUGAGGAUAAAGGAGAAUAUGGAUGGGCUGCUUAUCCCUCGAUGAAGGCAGGCACCAUAACGUUUUAACUGUAACACAGAUGCUCCUGAGAGGUUAAGACUUUUAAAAUCAUAUACGUAUAUUCAUAACAUUUAUGUGUGUGUCAAUUCAGUCUUUGCGUUACAAAACGGAAUGCAAUCAAAUAUGAGAGAGGUGGAAUAACACAAUAGGAUAAACAAUGUUGGCUGGUGGGGAAACAGGUAAAUGGAAACUGUUUGAACAGCAAAAUCUCCAAGACUUUCAUCAUCUCCCCUCUACACAAAGGGCAAGUCAAAGCUUAUGACAGGCACAGUGUGGAAUUACCCUUACAUGAUGCUCAGCUUUAUUUUAAAGUUGUUUGUUAAAAUCACCAUGACAGUUCUGUAUAGAGAAAUGAGUGCAACUGCCUUUUUGAAGGUUUGACCCUGAAAUAAAUGGGAAAGACUGGGCAAACACUGCUGUGAACUGCAAAACAUGAAAGGUAAAAAAAUCUGUAGGUCCUCAGGUGUGACAGCACAACAAUGCUAUAUCUAUGUAGAUGGAAGGAGAAUCUGAGAACAGCAGGCUAUGCUGGGUGCUGAAUGGCAUAAAGCAGCUGGAUAGAUAUUCUGGAGUCCCACAGUGGUGGGAAUUUUCCUAGGAGAAAACAGAAUAGCAUGUCUAUCACAGCCCCACUGAAAUGAGAACAAUUCAAUGCUCUCUUUCACUACUCCAUUCUCUAUUCCACGAAGCAUGUUUUUAAUGCAAGAUUGAAAAAGGAGAGCCUGUCCCAUUGAAACAGACCUCAUGUCAUAUCCACAUAAGCUCCGUACUUUUUUUGUGAUCUUUUGCCGUUGUUUGAAACUUCCAGUC
Grus americana (Whooping crane) is the source of this 1307-nucleotide long non-coding RNA. RefSeq lists it as uncharacterized. The transcript has 3 exons. NCBI's taxonomy places the organism in Eukaryota, Metazoa, Chordata, Aves, Gruiformes, Gruidae. The record is from RefSeq and is a predicted model, not a curated record.